GACUACAUGAAGCUGGAAUCGCUAGUAAUCGCGAAUCAGAAUGUCGCGGUGAAUACGUUCCCGGGUCUUGUACACACCGCCCGUCACACCAUGGGAGUCGGAAAUGCCCGAAGUCAGUGACCCAACCACAACGUGAACUUCGUUCGCGUGGAGGGAGCUGCCGAAGGUGGAGCCGGUAACUGGGGUGAAGUCGUAACAAGGUAAC
RNAcentral lists this ribosomal RNA (205 nucleotides) under uncultured bacterium. RNAcentral's name for it is "partial 16S ribosomal RNA". It matches the Rfam family "Bacterial small subunit ribosomal RNA", at positions 1314 to 1500 of the family's 1533-position model. The record is from RNAcentral.